This 65-nucleotide transfer RNA is filed under the name Bactra venosana. RNAcentral's name for it is "tRNA-Ile". Lineage: Eukaryota; Metazoa; Arthropoda; Insecta; Lepidoptera; Tortricidae. The record is from RNAcentral.
AAUAAAGUGCCUGAAAAAAAGGAUUAUUCUGAUAGAAUAAAUUAUGUAGAAUUCUACCUUUAUUA